CCUACGGGGGGCAGCAGUGGGGAAUAUUGCACAAUGGGCGAAAGCCUGAUGCAGCGACGCCGCGUGAAGGAUGAAGUAUUUCGGUAUGUAAACUUCUAUCAGCAGGGAAGAAAAUGACGGUACCUGACUAAGAAGCCCCGGCUAACUACGUGCCAGCAGCCGCGGUAAUACGUAGGGGGCAAGCGUUAUCCGGAUUUACUGGGUGUAAAGGGAGCGUAGACGGCGAUGCAAGCCAGAUGUGAAAGCCCGGGGCUCAACCCCGGGACUGCAUUUGGAACUGUGUGGCUGGAGUGUCGGAGAGGCAA
Molecule: ribosomal RNA, 305 nt
Filed under: uncultured bacterium
Lineage: Bacteria
Description: bacterial SSU rRNA
Rfam family: Bacterial small subunit ribosomal RNA
Source: RNAcentral